CCUGUUGAGAGUUCAGGCGCAGCAAGACACAAGAGAGAAGGCGGUUGGUGUCAUUUAAGCCACUCUCUCAGCAAUUUUUUAGCAGAUAAUGAUCUUGGACAUUACCCUUCGACACCAGUAUGUUAUCCGAUACCAACUGCUAAACAUUGCAGCUGUUUCAUUUGAAAAUAAUAGUUGUUGAUUAGUGCCAAAAAAUGGUUCUGUAUUAGGUAGUUUACACCUAUCAUCAAUUAUAUUUGAGGUGCAUACCUGGAGCAUGCGGCGGGUAAGUAAUGAGCGAAAAGAAAAGACGAAAGUAACUUAUUGAUCAUGUGGACUCGUAAAAUCGGCUGGAAACAGACUCAAGAAUUUCCCAGUCGAUGUCGUCACUUCUUGCACAACAACGAUACUGUCGAGGCUGCCUCAUUGUUGAUAAUGUCUUUCCAAAUUUUCCAGUAUUGCACGAUGGAAUGGUUAGGACAAGAAGUAGACUUUUGAUGCUAAAUUGUGCAGGUUUCGUGACAAACGAGACAUCCAUUUCUAGCAGAAUUGGCCGUGCGACCAAGAAAGACCUUAUUGUGAAUAUCUCUUCUGCACAAACGAAUUUGACGCCAUUAAAAGCUGUUUGCUCCAAUGCUAUGCGAUAUUCUUUAAAAUGUUUUUUCAAGUAAGGGUUCAAAUCAAUAUUCCUUGGUCCAACACUUGAGGAGCAUUUCUCUAUAUGUCUGAUGAAUUUAUUCAUGAGGCUCACUAUAUGAAUGUGUCGGGUGAUGAUCUGACUUGCCCAAGUUGAUUGUUAAUCCGAAUGAGAGAUUUUACUGCUGCUUUGUCCAAAUCGUUUAAAAAAACAUUAAGGAUUCAAGUCAGGGAAAAUGGAUUCAAGUAGGAUUAAAGAUGUGAUGGUUGCAGCUAUUACACAAGUUUCAAGCACUCACAAACGCCCUCCAGAUAAAACAUUCUUCGAACAGAUUGGCUUGAGUCGUAAGUCUCGAUUUCAUGAAUUCUCUCUGUGGACCAUGUUCAAGGGGUUCAUGAUGUGGUGUUUGGCAGGUCACCUAACUCUUGAUUAAUGACCGUUUAUCAUUUUGGAUUUUACUGACGAGUUUGAGCACUAAAGGUCUUAUUGAAUAAAAUCUGUGCGGGCACGCAGUAGGCAUUUGGGAGAAAAUACCCUUUCAUCCAGGUCUGGAACUCCUCGGUCCUUGGUCACAAAACUAGUGGAAGUGAAAUCCACAGGAUGGGGUCGAUGGAAUUGACGUCAUUAUUCAGAAUUUCACAAGACUGUUCCCUACACUAUGCUCUACCUCAAGGCAGGUCUUCGAGAGCUGGUUACCAAGCAAGCCCGAGCCAAAUGAGGCGAACUAAACAGGGCAGCAGCAGCCUGCCUGGCGGGGACGCAACGCGGAUCGCGUGCGAGAACCUUAUGCAGGGCCGGACAGGGUAGGAGUAACGGCGCGGGUGAGGGUGAUGCUGAAGAGAAAAGUUUUCGAAGAGCAGUCUAUCUUUCUCCUGCGGGUGUAAAGCUGGGUUCUAUUGUUGCAAUUUCUCCAGACGGCCGUUUCUUAUUAUCAGAAUCGUGCUACUUCGCGAAACAAGAAUCGUCUGCUUCCAGUUGAGUCUGUCGAAGAAGAUCCUCACUCGCAUCAAUAUCGGCAGUAUGGAUUUUCAAGACAUAUUGCCUUUGCAUUGACCGCCCUCACCCUGUCCUCACAUAUUGUGCAAGUCGACACGCAGACAAUUAUGUCAAAUUGGUGACGACAGAUACUGCUGAUGCAGUUGAGAGUGCAUUGAGUCAUUGUGCUCCAGUUACUUGCUAAGCACUGUCUCCUGAUGCAAGUGUUCUAAUGACAGGGUCACGAGAUACCACAUGUUUAUUUUGGCGAUUUCAUGAAAUAAAUUUACAUGAAGUAGAAAAAUGGAAGUACUUGUAAAAGUCUGCAGAAACUCCAUUCUUUGUGAAAGACCGUUGUGAAUGAAAAGGACUUUGGAACUCCUGGCUAAUUUAUCAAUGCCUGGUGCUGUGGCCUUCAACCACUUCUCGACCCAAAUGUGCAAUGCUAGCGCGUCUUGAUUACGGGGUUGGAGUUCCAGGAUGAGAAAGUCGUGGUUGAGGAAUCUCUUUCUCUGAACCACAAUCUCCACGCGGUCAGAUUAAAAGUACAAUUUGUGUUGCAAUUUGCAGUGGGGAACAAUCUGUUGUAUUCAAAAUCGAACAUUGUCACCGAAUCAUGUGUGGGCUUCACCUGCUCUGAGUCGUCGAGACCGGGUAUCACUAACCUUCGAGACGACUGUAGGGAUUUUGUAACAGCGCUAAGCUCAGAUUAGCAGAGAACAAUCGUCUCGAGUGGAAGAUCAUUGUCUUCGCACAAUUUUUUGAACCUCCGUUCUCCCAAAUCUGCCGCAACGCUGCAAUGACAAUCUCCUUCCACCCCCUUCGACAUCUAUGUUUAAGAUUUGGUAUCUAAUGUCCACUACGAUUUUAGCUACGUUCCAAAAUGUGUGGUACAAGCAACUAAACAACCUCGAGCCGGCCAUCACGGAGGUGCUUUCACGAUGUGCUGCAUACUUGAUAAUUGAGAAAAUAGGUUUGGUUUCCUGUGUUCUGCAGGGAAGGAGCUCGAGUUAGAGAUUAUCAACCACCCCAGCGAUAUUGAUUGGCUCAUGGGUUGGAUUAUUGCUCAGAGAUUGGGGUGUUAAGUUCGGAGUCGAGCCGUUAGGAAGACGUCUACCAUGUAGAAACAUUAGAGAUGAAGAGAAAUUGAAUAAUUGUAUAUUAGAAGUUUGAAUUGAAUAAUUGUAUAUAUGUAUGUAGAAGUUUCUUACAUUCCCGCUAGUAUAUUAGUUGUUAGGAUUUAGGUUUUUUAUUUUUUGUAGCAACUCUCUUAUUAAUAUGAGGUAGUGGUGAUGCUUGUAGCAUCGUAUCUAUGUACAUUUCUCUUUGUUGUUUUUGUUGAUUUUUAGGUAA
Non-coding RNA from Physcomitrium patens, 2944 nucleotides. The record is from RefSeq and is a predicted model, not a curated record. NCBI's taxonomy places the organism in Eukaryota, Viridiplantae, Streptophyta, Bryopsida, Funariales, Funariaceae.